ACUCAAGUGACAUAAAUGACAGCAAAAACAGAUGCUUUUGGAGAAAUUGCAGUACCAUGAGUUAGUUCUAAAAAUGUAUAGUUGAUUUGGCUUUACCACGAAUUAGCAUUGGAGUUUUUUGCAGUGCUGCCAUUUACUUUCCACUCAAGGAUUACUCCAGCAGAGGCAACCAUGGUACUGUUGGCGAGAGAAGCACAUGCUGGCUAAUCUACAGUACACCAAGACAAGGGUUGGCGCCCCCCUUGGGUUGUGCUGUGGCGGAGAUCUUUGUGGGCUAUACUCGGCCUUGUCUCAGGAUGGACCUGAGCCCUAGGACCAUGCCUCAGGACUACCUGGCAUGAUGACUCCUUGCUGUCCCCAGUCCACCUGGCCGUGCUGCUGCUCCAGUUUCAACUGUUCUGCCUAUGGAACCCUGACCUGUUCACCGGACGUGCUACCUGUCCCAGACCUGCUCUUUUCAACUCUUUAGAGACAGCAGGAGCGGUAGAGAUACUCUCAAAGAUUGGCUAUGAAAAAGCCAACUGACACUUACUCUUGAGUUGCUGACUUGUUGCACCCUUGACAACUACUAUGAUUAUUUGACCAUGCUGGUCAUUUAUGAACAUUUGAACAUCUUGGCCAUGUGCUCUUAUAAUCUCUACCCCGGCACAGCCAGAAGAGGACUGGCCACCCCUCAUAGCCUGGUUCCUCUCUAGGUUUCUUCCUAGGUUUUGGUCUUUCUAGGGAGUUUUUCCUAGCUACCGUGCUUCUACACCUGC
Molecule: long non-coding RNA, 758 nt
Filed under: Salmo salar (Atlantic salmon)
Lineage: Eukaryota; Metazoa; Chordata; Actinopteri; Salmoniformes; Salmonidae
Description: lncRNA (ENSSSAG00000083669.1)
Source: RNAcentral